UCGUAACAAGGUCUCCGUUGGUGAACCAGCGGAGGGAUCAUUACAGAGUUACUACUCCAAAACCCAUUGUGAACCUUACCUAUGUUCUGUUGCCUCGGCGGCGUGGUCAGCGCCCCCUCUGAAAAGAGGACGAUGCCCUCCCGCCGGCAGCACCAAACUCUUGAAUUUUACAGCGGAUUACAGUUCUGAUUUGAAAAGAAAAAACAAGUUAAAACUUUCAACAACGGAUCUCUUGGUUCUGGCAUCGAUGAAGAACGCAGCGAAAUGCGAUAAGUAAUGUGAAUUGCAGAAUUCAGUGAAUCAUCGAAUCUUUGAACGCACAUUGCGCCCGGCAGUAAUCUGCCGGGCAUGCCUGUCCGAGCGUCAUUUCAACCCUCGAACCUCCGUUUCCUCAGGGAAGCUCAGGGUCGGUGUUGGGGCGCUACGGCGAGUCUUCGCGACCCUCCGUAGGCCCUGAAAUACAGUGGCGGUCCCGCCGCGGUUGCCUUCUGCGUAGUAAGUCUCUUUUGCAAGCUCGCAUUGGGUCCCGGCGGAGGCCUGCCGUCAAACCACCUAUAACUCCAGAUGGUUUGACCUCGGAUCAGGUAGGGUUACCCGCUGAACUUAAGCAUAUCAAUAAA
This 620-nucleotide unclassified non-coding RNA is filed under the name Scedosporium apiospermum. RNAcentral describes it as "sequence contains 18S rRNA gene, ITS1, 5.8S rRNA gene, ITS2, 28S rRNA gene". The stretch from base 213 to 366 matches the Rfam family "5.8S ribosomal RNA". Lineage: Eukaryota; Fungi; Ascomycota; Sordariomycetes; Microascales; Microascaceae. The record is from RNAcentral.